UUCCAUAGAAUAGAUCCAGAAGAAACACAACAAUACUGCCUUCAUCAUAUCAGGAGAUCUUGAUACCAAAUACGAGUGUUGCCUCCAAGAUGCAAGAUCCUGAGGGCUCCAAAGAAUCCACUGUCCGUCACAAAUCGACGGUCCGCCAGCUCAGUUUCAGAGACGUGGUGCUCCGCUGCAGGCCUCAUCCUCAGGUGCACCCUGGCAGUCAGCCAUCUGAAGGUACUAUGGAAAUUCAGUUACUCACUCUUGGGAGCAGAAGGAUUCCAGACCAUUCCUGUGUGCACCCUGGCAGGGAGCCAUCUGAAGGGCUCUCCUGAUGGUCUCCUUUACCUUCCUUCACCACCAAGGAGGGUGGCCCAGCAGCAGCUCAGCCUGUGCUCUCACCCACCUCCUCUGCACACACCAGUCCUCGUCCUCAGCACCCAAGGCUGCCAGAGGUCCUUCAGCAGCUCCCGUGGCUGACAGUGACUCUACGUUUCCUAGAUUUCAGGGACCACCUGGAGGGGAGCGGACCAGAGAGACUUCCUCGGAAUAGGCUGUGGCUCUUCACAAGGUGUCUUCUAUGCUUUAUUUGGGAGCCAUUGCCUUGAGCGUUAUUUCCCAGAUGGUUUUCUAAUGUCACCAACUGAAGAAAAGACCCAUGCACACAGGACACAGCAUGAUCUGAUGCUCACAGCGUUUUCCUUCCUCUCUGAAAACGGACUCAGCGAUUCUGGCAAGCGGUACUUACUCUGAGAUCACCCGUUUGCUAAGGAAAAAUCUUAGUACUGAGAAAGGUGACACUUUCCUCCCUGCUUUUGCUGGAGAGACACUUUGGUUAUGAGUUAUUUCUAGCAUAACACAGUUUAUUUCAGAAGUCCAGCUCAAUAGCAGACCAAGGCAUGAACAACACAUGAAAAUUUAUGUUGGGAAAAUAUAUAUUGUAUGUCUGCU
Long non-coding RNA from Homo sapiens (human), 936 nucleotides. Ensembl annotates it as long intergenic non-protein coding RNA 1120. NCBI's taxonomy places the organism in Eukaryota, Metazoa, Chordata, Mammalia, Primates, Hominidae. The record is from Ensembl.